ACCGCGCGGGAGGGGCGGGGCCUGCCGCCGCCACCGCCUCAGGGAAGAGGAAGGAGGCCGCGGCUUCGCGUCCCGCCUCUCGCCUGGCUGGCCGUGGGGGGCCUGGACGCAGUGGCCUCCCGAAUCUCCCAGGACCCUAAUAUCGCCCGAGGAUGCUGGGAGGAACGCUGAGCCGACCUCUCCGUUAGGCUGAAGAUUGCACAAACCAUGCUAAUGGCCAGCAUGGAUGGAGGGAGCGUGUGAGAUGUGUGGGGCAGCGUGCUGCAUCUCAGCCAACUCCAGGAGAUGGAACGAAGUCUGUUUGUGGAAACACCCUUCCCCUCUGUUUACUUGGACCUGAUUUUGAAAGUAACAAGUCACUUUAUUUGGGCUGGAGGAAAAAGCACUAAACCAGAUGUUGAGGUGACCGGGAUUCCUGGAAGACAUUCUUCUCUCCAACGAGACACAUGAUGCAUGAAGUAGGAGCCCCUGGCAAGGAGCCCAGGCUGCCAUGGCCUCGCUCGCUCCUGCUUCCCGGCAUGGCCCCGAGGCUAGCUGCCUCUGUACUGCCUGAGCAUCGUCCCCUGGCGUGUCACCAGACUACCCACUACCUGUGCUUGCACCUGCAGGUGGGCAGUUCAGUCGUUGCAGGCUGAAGCUCCCUGUCACAGGAGUCCAUCAGCACUGGAGUUUACCAAAUGGCCCAGUCCAGGAAGCAUGCUCAUGGCAAUACCCGGAGUCUCCACUGCAAGACCAGAGUGACGGAGGCAGCAGAGCUCCUCAGCAGGCCAGGAGUCUCCAGAGGCACUGCCGAAUGUCUAAGAAGCAACCUCAUUGUAUUCCCAAGACCUGGGAAUCCAGGUCUCGCAGAUACGAUGAUACAAUCUAUAGCCAGGACAUCUCUUCAUGUGUAGUUUUCAAUGAAUACUAGGAUAAGCAACUAUCCCAGUCUUCCCAGGAUUGAGGGGCUUCUCCAGAUGCUGCACUUCUGGUGCUAAAAAUGAGAAACUGAAAUGAAUUAGUCACCCAAGGAAUGCUGACCCUGUGCUAUAUGAUCACAUUUACUCUUUAAAGCAAUGCUUUGAGACAUGAAAGCCAGAUAGGGAAGAAUUUGCAGCCUCAUACUGAUUGGCCAGUUGAGGAGUCAACUCAUCUCUCUUAUAGAAAAAAGAAGAUUACAUUUACGGAAUACAGAAUAUACUGUGCUCUCUACUUACCAAGAGAUUUCUUUCUCUACUGACAACUUUCUGUUGACGUGGUUACUGUGCAGGUUCUGACAGUCGAUUCUUUCCACCUAGUUCACUGCUGAAGCUAUAAUGAUUUCCAUUUUGCAAAAAGAGGAUGAUUACUUAUUAUCUGUGACCAUUUCUCAAUUCCAGAACAAUUGAGCUGCAUAGUCCCUGCAAUCUUAUAAAGGCAUUUGGCCUGGAAGAUGCUCUGCAGCCAUGUGCCAAGAAUAACGGCUAUAGGGACAAUGUUUCAUUAACCCCAAAGCAGCAACCUGAACCUCUUACUGUACAAUAUCUGCUCCGUUCAGAAUUAGCUCGACUUGAGUCACAGGAUGAAGCUUACCAAAAGGAAUUUCCACGUCCAAGGAAGGAACCAAGAUCACUGAGAGGUUAUAGUAUGAAAAGUGAAGAGAAAAAACCUAUUCUAAACAUUUUAUUAAUUGUCAAUAAUUAUUUUAAAAUAUUUAAUAUAGUCUCCUACCUGGUCCACUGGCAUCAAGCUGCCAAAUUUACACGGUCACUUUGGGAAGCCAGCUGGCAGGCAAACAUGGAAAGUGCUGGCUCCUAGCGUAGUGAGAAGACCACAGAUAGAUGGUAAUUUUCUUCUUUGUUUUAUUUUUCUUUUUCUUCUCUCCCUCUUUUUCUUCCCUCUUGCCUUUCCCUCCCAUUGCCCACUUUCUUUUUUUGGCUGCCGAAGAUUUAUUGCCUUUCAGUACUUAUAGAUGAUGUUUUCAUAAGUUCUAAUGAGGUCCCAGCAGUUUUUAACAAUAACAGGACAUUACUGUUCCUAAGAUAUAUUAUGUGUUUUCCCUCAUCUUUCUCCCUUGAAUGAAAUGCUUAGAAGUAGGCUAACCCCCAAUUCCCUUCCCUUUACUAUGAUAAAUGGCUCCAUUACUUAAUAGGGCUAAAUACUCUGCUG
Molecule: long non-coding RNA, 2127 nt
Organism: Homo sapiens (human)
Lineage: Eukaryota; Metazoa; Chordata; Mammalia; Primates; Hominidae
Gene: GMDS-DT
Product: GMDS divergent transcript
Source: Ensembl